Molecule: ribosomal RNA, 643 nt
Filed under: Atelecyclus undecimdentatus
Lineage: Eukaryota; Metazoa; Arthropoda; Malacostraca; Decapoda; Atelecyclidae
Description: partial 16S ribosomal RNA
Rfam family: Bacterial large subunit ribosomal RNA
Source: RNAcentral
GUCUAUUUGACAUAAUAAAUAGUCUAACCUGCUCACUGACAAAAGUUAAAGAGCCGCGGUAUUCUGACCGUGCAAAGGUAGCAUAAUCAUUAGUUUCUUAAUUAGAAACUCGUAUGAAUGGUUGAACAAAAGAAGAGCUGUCUCUGGUAUAGAAAUAGAAUUUAACUUUUAAGUGAAAAGGCUUAAAUUAUUCAAGGGGACGAUAAGACCCUAUAAAGCUUUAUAUUGUCAGCUGAAUUUUAAUUGAAUUAGAGAAAGUUAAAGAUUUUAAUGGGCUAUUAUAUUUUAUUGGGGAGGUACAAGUAUAAUUUUUAUAACUGCUUAUAAUUAAUACAUAGAUAGUUGGUUUUUGUUUUAAUGAUCCUUUAUUAAUAAAGAUUAAAGACUAAGUUACUUUAGGGAUAACAGCGUUAUUUUUUUUGAGAGUUCAUAUCGAAAAAAAAGUUUGCGACCUCGAUGUUGAAUUAAAAUUAUCUUUAUAGUGCAGCUGCUAUAAAAGAGGGUCUGUUCGACCUUUAAAUUUUUACAUGAUUUGAGUUCAGACCGGCGUGAGCCAGGUCGGUUUCUAUCUCUUGAAAUUAAGGGUAAACUAUUAUAGUACGAAAGGAUUUAAUAGUUUAAAAUUUUUAUCUAGGUUUGGAAU